RNAcentral lists this ribosomal RNA (120 nucleotides) under Paramycoleptodiscus albizziae. Its description in RNAcentral is "partial large subunit ribosomal RNA". The record is from RNAcentral. Lineage: Eukaryota; Fungi; Ascomycota; Dothideomycetes; Muyocopronales; Muyocopronaceae.
CGGCAACAGCUCAAAUUUGAAAUCUGGCUCCUUCGGGGCCCGAGUUGUAAUUUGUAGAGGAUGCUUCGGCGUUAGCGCCGCCCAAAGUUCCUUGGAACGGGACGUCAUAGAGGGUGAGAG